AUCGAACGCUGGCGGCAGGCCUAACACAUGCCAGUCGAACGAACUCUGCGGAGUUAGUGGCGGACGGGUGAGUAACACGUGGGAACGUGCCUUUUGGUUCGGAAUAACUCAGGGAAACUUGUGCUAAUACCGAAUGUGCCCUUCGGGGGAAAGAUUUAUCGCCAUUAGAGCGGCCCGCGUCUGAUUAGCUAGUUGGUGAGGUAAAGGCUCACCAAGGCGACGAUCAGUAGCUGGUUUGAGAGGAUAACCAGCCACACUGGGACUGAGACACGGCCCAGACUCCUACGGGAGGGAGGAGUGGGGAAUCUUGCGCAAUGGGCGAAAGCAUGACGCAGCCAUGCCGCGUGAAUGAUGAAGGUCGUAGGAUUGUAAAAUUCUUUCACCGGGGACGAUAAUGACGGUACCCGGAGAAGAAGCCCCGGCUAACUUCGUG
Molecule: ribosomal RNA, 433 nt
Filed under: uncultured bacterium
Lineage: Bacteria
Description: partial 16S ribosomal RNA
Rfam family: Bacterial small subunit ribosomal RNA
Source: RNAcentral